Molecule: ribosomal RNA, 429 nt
Filed under: Planctomycetaceae bacterium
Lineage: Bacteria; Pseudomonadati; Planctomycetota; Planctomycetia; Planctomycetales; Planctomycetaceae
Description: partial 23S ribosomal RNA
Rfam family: Bacterial large subunit ribosomal RNA
Source: RNAcentral
GGUCAAGCUACAAAGAGCACAUGGUGGAUGCCUUGGCGCCAGGAGGCGAAGAAGGACGUGACUACCUGCGAAAAGCGACGGGGAGCUGGAAGUGAGCGACGAGCCGUCGAUGUCCGAAUGGGGAAACCCGGCACGCGUCAUGGUGUGUCGUCAUGCACUGAAUACAUAGGUGUAUGAAGCCAACGUGGGGAACUGAAACAUCUAAGUACCCACAGGAAAGGAAAUCAACCGAGACUCCGCAAGUAGCGGCGAGCGAACGCGGAAGAGCCCAAACCGUGGGGAUUCCCCUGCGGGGUUGUGGGAGCCCGAUAUGGGACCGUGGAUUUUAGCAGAACGGCAUGGGAAGGCCGGCCAAAGAAGGUGAGAGCCCUGUAUGUGAAAGAGGAAGCGGACCUAGGGAUUUCCCGAGUAGGGCGGGACACGUGGAAC